Molecule: transfer RNA, 74 nt
Filed under: Zea mays
Lineage: Eukaryota; Viridiplantae; Streptophyta; Magnoliopsida; Poales; Poaceae
Description: tRNA-Ile (AAT) (tRNA-Ile-AAT-12-1)
Rfam family: tRNA
About the family: Transfer RNA (tRNA) molecules are approximately 80 nucleotides in length. Their secondary structure includes four short double-helical elements and three loops (D, anti-codon, and T loops).
Source: Rfam by way of RNAcentral
GGCCUAUUAGCUCAGUUGGUUAGAGCAUCGUGCUAAUAACGCGAAGAUCGCAGGUUCGAGACCUGCAUGGGCCA